CCCCAGUCCACCGCCGGCCGCGCCUCGCCGGCACCGUGGCCCUGAGCGCACUGGGGCGUCGGGCUUCCGCGCGACUCCGAGUUACCGAAGACUCCGCGGCCUUUCCGAAGGCAGGGGAAUGGGAGGGAAGGGCCGCCGACAGGUCGCCCGGUACCCGUCGGGGAAGCUCGCAGGCCGGGGCCCCGCCGUCCAGGGCCCCACUGUCGCCUCGCCAGGAAAGACCAAAGUCCAGGGAGGCGUCCAUCGCGAAGCGUGUUCGCUGGCCGCCCGUCUUGCGCCUAGCACCGGUCCAGGGUGCAGCGGCUCCAGAACGACAGGACAGUGGCCUUGUCCCUGUGGAACCUGGUGUUUGCAGAGAGGGAGCAAACAGGUUCUGAAGGACAAGGCGUGGGGGGGCCCUGCGGAGGUGAACUGGAUUGAACUGGAUGGGAGAGAGGGUCUGGGGCGGGGGGGGCCUGAAUCCGGAGCUGCAGUGAGGCAGAAAGUUCGGAGUGGUCACUUAGAUGUGGUAUCUGAAGCACUGAGCACGUCAAGAUAAGGUGUCCUGUGCAGAUGACAUCAGGAAGACGCUGACACUUGCCCUCGGUGGGAAGGACCCAAUCUAAAGAACAAGACUUUUAAUUCAGUGCAGAUGCACCUCUGACGUUGUCCGGAGAUGUGAUGAGCCCCGUGAUACACUCAAGUUCAUCAACGCACGUCCCUCUGUCGUCUUAUUGUGAAGGGAUGAUACUGUAGCUGAUGACCUAACUCUAGUGAAUGAAUCAGUGUUACUAAGGCCUUAAAAAUUGACAGGGCCGGCACAUCCUAAGGGAAAAGGAAGUCACACUUUAAAAGUUUAUUUCUUCCAGUCUUUUAGGAAAAGAGAUUGUCCAUCUCGUGGAUGCCUGCAAACGAGUCGUAUGAAUCAAGCGGUCAUUUGUCUUUUGCACUCGUUAACUAGAUUAAUGCCUUUCAACUUGAUCUACAUAUCAAAAGCAUCUAAGGUGGGAAAAAAAAAAGGCCCCACCAUGCCAUCCACCAUCAAAACACUGGCAUACAAAUCAGCAUUUUAAAAGAAAAGCUAUAGGCUGACUGGUGUUCAAUUGCACAUUAAAGAAAAAUAAAGGAAUGUUAAGUUAGAAGUGAUGUGGUGAGUCAGAACCAGACAGGGUAGUGCCAAGAAAUGAUUGAUAGAAUGGUCAGUGGUUGUCCUCCCUGGCCUUAAUCUAAAAUGGCUGGGUGUGUUUGUUUCCUGGGGCUGUUGUUACAAAUUUGACAGGUUAACACAACAGAAAUUUAUUCUCUUAACAAUUGUGGAACCAGAAACCCAAUAUCAGUAUCACUGGGCUAAAGUCAGGAUGUCAGCAAGGCCACACUUCCUCCUUCCCUCUUCUGACUUCUGGUAGCUGCCGGCAUGCCUUGACUCGGGACUCCCAUUACUUUAAUCUUCGAGGCCAGCAUCUUCAUCUCUCUCUGCUCCAUCUUCAAAUUACCUGCUCUAGUCAAAUUUCCCUCUGCUCCCUCUUGUAAGAGACAUGUGAUUGCAUUGAGGGCCCACCCAGAUAAUCCAGGAUAAACUCCCCGCCACUUAGUCACAUCUUCAGAAACUCUUUCCAUAGUGGGUAAUAGGAUUACAAGUUCAAGGGCAGCCUGGGCAACUUAGUGAGACCCUGUCCCGAAAAUAAAAAGGGUUGGGGUUGUAGCUCAGUGGUAAACACUUGUGAGGUACUGGGUUCGAUCCUUGGC
Molecule: long non-coding RNA, 1725 nt
Filed under: Marmota monax (woodchuck)
Lineage: Eukaryota; Metazoa; Chordata; Mammalia; Rodentia; Sciuridae
Source: RNAcentral